AAUGAACGCUGGCGGCGUGCUUAACACAUGCAAGUCGAACGAGAAAGUUCCCUUCGGGGGAUGAGUAGAGUGGCGCACGGGUGAGUAAUGCGUGGGAAUCUACCUGGUAGUGGGGGACAACAGUUGGAAACGACUGCUAAUACCGCAUACGCCCUACGGGGGAAAGCGGGGGAGUCUUCGGACCUCGUGCUAUCAGAUGAGCCCGCGUGAGAUUAGCUAGUUGGUGGGGUAAAGGCCUACCAAGGCGACGAUCUCUAGCUGGUCUGAGAGGAUGAUCAGCCACACUGGGACUGAGACACGGCCCAGACUCCUACGGGAGGCAGCAGUGGGGAAUAUUGGACAAUGGGCGCAAGCCUGAUCCAGCCAUGCCGCGUGUGUGAAGAAGGCCUCGGUU
RNAcentral lists this ribosomal RNA (394 nucleotides) under uncultured bacterium. Its description in RNAcentral is "bacterial SSU rRNA". It matches the Rfam family "Bacterial small subunit ribosomal RNA", at positions 29 to 424 of the family's 1533-position model. The record is from RNAcentral.